AACGAUGAUAAAAAAUGAUAACAAUAACAAAAACUGAGUUCUCGAAAACUAAAAUAUGGUUUUAUAAAUAAUCCAUAGCUAUUUUCGUGACAUCGUAGCGUUUGUUGCUUCUUCAGGGAUGAAAUUCUCUCGUCGAUUGUUGACUUAAAGUCCGUAAAAAAUGUUUCGCUAUGGUUUCGGACGACUGUGCCACCAAACGUGUGGUUUAAACAGACCACACAAGCUGCUGUCGAACGCCUGUCAGAAGCUUAUCUCGUCCAGUUCUCGUCCUCCGGUGGUCAUAAAAAAUGAAAUCCAUUUGCAGUGCAAUAAGUAUUUCAGGCAAUACAGAGGACAAG
This 338-nucleotide long non-coding RNA is filed under the name Sipha flava (yellow sugarcane aphid). RNAcentral's name for it is "uncharacterized LOC112685894, transcript variant X1". The record is from RNAcentral. Lineage: Eukaryota; Metazoa; Arthropoda; Insecta; Hemiptera; Aphididae.